CCUACGGGAGGCUGCAGUCGAGAAUCAUUCACAAUGGGGGAAACCCUGAUGGUGCGACGCCGCGUGGGGGAAUGAAGGUCUUCGGAUUGUAAACCCCUGUCAUGUGGGAGCAAAUUAAAAAGAUAGUACCACAAGAGGAAGAGACGGCUAACGUUGUGCCAGCAGCCGCGGUAAUAAAGAGGUCUCAAGCUUUGUUCGGAAUCACGGGGCGUAAGGCGUGCGUAGGCUGUUUCGUAAGUCGUGUGUGAAAGGCGCGGGCUCAACCCGCGGACGGCACAUGAUACUGCGAGACUAGAGUAAUGGAGGGGGAACCGGAAUUCUCGGUGUAGCAGUGAAAUGCGUCGAUAUCGAGAGGAACACUCGUGGCGAAGGCGGGUUCCUGGACAUUAACUGACGCUGAGGCACGAAGGCCAGGGGAGCGAAAGGGAUUAGAUACCCGUGUAGUC
RNAcentral lists this ribosomal RNA (446 nucleotides) under uncultured bacterium. Its description in RNAcentral is "partial 16S ribosomal RNA". It matches the Rfam family "Bacterial small subunit ribosomal RNA", at positions 338 to 795 of the family's 1533-position model. The record is from RNAcentral.